AUGGCGUCUUCAUCUCUGUCAGUGGUGUUGCUCCUGUGCCUGGCUGCGGUGGCGUCGGCGCAGAUGUCCCCGACGUUCUACGACGCGUCGUGCCCCGGGGCGCUGGCCACCAUCAAGAACGGUGUGGUGGCCGCCGUGAGCAGCGACCCCCGCAUGGCUGCGUCGCUGCUCCGGCUGCACUUCCAUGACUGCUUUGUCCAAGGCUGCGACGCGUCCGUUCUGCUGGCUGGCAACGAGCGGAACGCGUUCGGGAACGUGGGAUCGCUGCGAGGCUUCGACGUCAUCGACCAAAUCAAGUCCAAUGUGGAGCAGGCGUGCAAGCGCACCGUCUCCUGCGCCGACAUCCUCGCCGUCGCCGCUCGCGAUUCCGUCGUCGCGGUAGGAGGGCCGUCAUGGACAGUCUCUCUGGGGAGGAGGGACUCCGACACGGCUAGCGAGACACUGGCCAACCGUGACCUGCCUGCCCCAUCACUUAGCGUCACCGAUCUCAUCACCCGCUUCGCCGCCAAGGGGCUCAACCACACCGAUAUGGUCGCCCUCUCUGGUGCGCACACCAUAGGGCAGGCGCAGUGCAAGAACUUCAGGACCAGGCUCUACAGCGAGGAGAACAUUGACCCGGCCUUGGCGACGUCGCGCAAGGCCACCUGCCCUCAGCUAACCGGCUCUGGCGACAGCAACUUGGCCCCAUUGGACGAUACGACCCCGGACAUGUUCGACAACGCCUACUUCGUCAACCUCAAGCUCAAUAAGGGGCUCCUACACUCCGACCAGGUGCUCUACACCCUUGCCGGUGGUGCCACCGAAGACAUCAUUGACGGCUUCGCAUCUAACCAGGAUGCGUUCAACAACGCCUUUGCCGCAGCCAUGGUGAAGAUGGGGAACAUUAGCCCCUUGAUUUUCCCACAGGGUCAGGUCAGGCGCAUCUGCUCCAGGGCGAACUAA
Molecule: ribosomal RNA, 942 nt
Filed under: Triticum aestivum (bread wheat)
Lineage: Eukaryota; Viridiplantae; Streptophyta; Magnoliopsida; Poales; Poaceae
Description: partial small subunit ribosomal RNA
Source: RNAcentral